CCUACGGGUGGCUGCAGUGGGGAAUAUUGGGCAAUGGAGGAGACUCUGAACCAGCAACGCCGCGUGAAUGAUGAAGGUCUUCGGAUUGGAAAGUUCUUUUCGAAGGGAAGCAGAGAGUGACGGUACAUGAGGAAUAAGGCUCGGCUAACUAAGUGCCAGCAGCCGCGGUAAUACGUAGGAGGCGAGCGGUAUACGGAAUGACUGGGCGUAAAGGGUGCGUAGGUGGUUUGGCUAGUUAGUAGCGUAACUCCAAGGCUCAAACCUGGAACUAGUACUAAAACCGUUGGACUUGGGUGCAGGGAGGGCAACCGGGAUUGCGUGUGGAGCGGUGGAAUGCGUAGAUAUUAGGAGGAACCCCAGUGGCGAAGGCGAGUUGCUAGACUGUAACUGACACUGAGGCACGAAAGCGUGGGGAGCAAACAGGAUUAGGUACCCCAGUAGUU
This 443-nucleotide ribosomal RNA is filed under the name uncultured bacterium. RNAcentral describes it as "partial 16S ribosomal RNA". It matches the Rfam family "Bacterial small subunit ribosomal RNA", at positions 338 to 795 of the family's 1533-position model. The record is from RNAcentral.